This 400-nucleotide ribosomal RNA is filed under the name uncultured bacterium. RNAcentral's name for it is "bacterial SSU rRNA". It matches the Rfam family "Bacterial small subunit ribosomal RNA", at positions 356 to 773 of the family's 1533-position model. The record is from RNAcentral.
GGGGAAUAUUGCGCAAUGGGGGAAACCCUGACGCAGCAACGCCGCGUGAAUGAAGAAGGCCUUAGGGUUGUAAAGUUCUGUUUUCUGGGACGAUAAUGACGGUACCAGAGGAGGAAGCCACGGCUAACUACGUGCCAGCAGCCGCGGUAAUACGUAGGUGGCAAGCGUUGUCCGGAUUUACUGGGCGUAAAGGAUGCGUAGGCGGAUGUUUAAGUGAGAUGUGAAAUACCCGAGCUCGACUUGGGUGCUGCAUUUCAAACUGGAUAUCUAGAGUGCAGGAGAGGAAAGCGGAAUUCCUAGUGUAGCGGUGAAAUGCGUAGAGAUUAGGAAGAACACCAGUGGCGAAGGCGGCUUUCUGGACUGUAACUGACGCUGAGGCAUGAAAGCGUGGGGAGCAAAC